GGAUGUGAGGGCGAUCUGGCUGCGACAUCUGUCACCCCAUUGAUCGCCAGGGUUGAUUCGGCUGAUCUGGCUGGCUAGGCGGGUGUCCCCUUCCUCCCUCACCGCUCCAUGUGCGUCCCUCCCGAAGCUGCACGCUCGGUCGAAGAGGACGGCCUUCCCCAAAUAGAGACGGACCAGUCUUCGGUCGAGGGUAUACGAGUAGCUGCGCUCCCCCGCUAGAACCUCCAAACAAGCUCUCAAGAAGUCUUUGGAGGUGGACGAUGAAGAUGUUGCUAUCUUAAUUGCAGCAGUAGUUUCACGGCCAUGCAAGAAGUAAAGAAAGAAACUCUAAGCU
RNAcentral lists this small nuclear RNA (334 nucleotides) under Sorex araneus (European shrew). RNAcentral describes it as "7SK RNA (ENSSARG00000014982.1)". The stretch from base 1 to 295 matches the Rfam family "7SK RNA". From Rfam's summary of the family: 7SK was discovered as an abundant small nuclear RNA in the mid-70s but a possible function has only recently been suggested. The record is from RNAcentral. Lineage: Eukaryota; Metazoa; Chordata; Mammalia; Eulipotyphla; Soricidae.